CGAUCCUGAUGGGAGUCAAACCUACAUUCUUUGGCUACGAAGACCAACGCCUUUUCCGUUGGGCCACAGGACA
Molecule: non-coding RNA, 73 nt
Organism: Cordylochernes scorpioides
Lineage: Eukaryota; Metazoa; Arthropoda; Arachnida; Pseudoscorpiones; Chernetidae
Source: the annotation of a GenBank genome assembly